This 926-nucleotide ribosomal RNA is filed under the name Verticillium dahliae. RNAcentral's name for it is "LSU rRNA". It matches the Rfam family "Eukaryotic large subunit ribosomal RNA", at positions 36 to 987 of the family's 3401-position model. Lineage: Eukaryota; Fungi; Ascomycota; Sordariomycetes; Glomerellales; Plectosphaerellaceae. The record is from RNAcentral.
CAGCAUAUCAAUAAGCGGAGGAAAAGAAACCAACAGGGAUUGCCUUAGUAACGGCGAGUGAAGCGGCAACAGCUCAAAUUUGAAAUCUGGCUCCUUCGGGGUCCGAGUUGUAAUUUGCAGAGGAUGCUUCGAGUUAUGGUUCCUUCCGAGUUCCCUGGAACGGGACGCCAUAGAGGGUGAGAGCCCCGUCUGGUAGGAAACCAUGCUCAUGUGAAGCUCCCUCGACGAGUCGAGUAGUUUGGGAAUGCUGCUCUAAGGGGAGGUAUACUCCUUCCAAGGCUAAAUACCGGCUAGAGACCGAUAGCGCACAAGUAGAGUGAUCGAAAGAUGAAAAGUACUUUGAAAAGAGAGUCAAACAGCACGUGAAAUUGUUAAAAGGGAAGCGCUCGCUACCAGACGUGGGUUCGGUGGUUCAACCAGGUCCAUGACCUGGGGCACUCCGCCGGCCCAGGCCAGCAUCAGCUUUCCGUCGGGGGCAAAGGCGUCGGGAAUGUGGCUCUCCUUCGGGGGAGUGUUAUAGCCCGUCGCGUCAUACCCUUCGGGGGGCUGAGGUACGCGCUCCGCAAGGAUGCUGGCGUAAUGGUAGCUAGUGACCCGUCUUGAAACACGGACCAAGGAGUCAACCUUAUGUGCGAGUGCCCGGGCGUAAAACCCCAGCGCGGAAUGAAAGUGAACGUAGGUGAGAGCUUCGGCGCAUCACCGACCGAUCCUGAUGUCCUCGGACGGAUUUGAGUGAGAGCAUAUAGGGUUGGACCCGAAAGAAGAUGAACUAUGCGUGUGUAGGGUGAAGCCAGAGGAAACUCUGGUGGAGGCUCGCAGCGGUUCUGACGUGCAAAUCGAUCGUCAAACAUGCGCAUGGGGGCGAAAGACUAAUCGAAUCUUCUGGUAGCUGGUUUCGUGACUUUCUCCCCGCAAGAAAGAAAAAA